CCUACGGGAGGCAGCAGUGGGGAAUAUUGGGCAAUGGGCGCAAGCCUGACCCAGCAACGCCGCGUGAAGGAUGAAGGCUCUCGGAUUGUUAACUUCUUUCUCUAGGGACGUAGACUGACGGUACCUUGUAUGAAAGCCCCGGCUAACUACGUGCCAGCAGCCGCGGUAAUACGGAGGGGGCAAGCUUUGUCCGGAAUGACGGGGCGUAAAGGGAGUGUAGGCGGCCUUGUAAGUUAGAUGUGAAAUCCUACGGCUUAAGCGUAGAACUGCAUCUAAAACUGUGAGGAUGGAGUGCAGGAGAGGUGAGUGGAAUUCAUAGUGUAGCGGUGGAAUGCGUAGAUAUUAGGAGGAACACCAGAGGCGAAGGCGACUCACUGGACUGUAACUGACGCUGAGGCUCGAAAGCGUGGGGAGCAAACAGGAUUAGAUACCCUAGUAGUC
Molecule: ribosomal RNA, 441 nt
Filed under: uncultured bacterium
Lineage: Bacteria
Description: partial 16S ribosomal RNA
Rfam family: Bacterial small subunit ribosomal RNA
Source: RNAcentral